CCUACGGGUGGCAGCAGUGAGGAAUAUUGGUCAAUGGACGAGAGUCUGAACCAGCCAAGUAGCGUGAAGGAUGACUGCCCUAUGGGUUGUAAACUUCUUUUAUAUGGGAAUAAAAUGUUCCACGUGUGGGAUUUUGUAUGUACCAUAUGAAUAAGGAUCGGCUAACUCCGUGCCAGCAGCCGCGGUAAUACGGAGGGUCCGAGCGUUAUCCGGAUUUAUUGGGUUUAAAGGGAGCGUAGGUGGAUUGUUAAGUCAGUUGUGAAAGUUUGCGGCUCAACCGUAAAAUUGCAGUUGAAACUUGCAGUCUUGAGUACAGUAGAGGUGGGCGGAAUUCGUGGUGUAGCGGUGAAAUGCUUAGAUAUCACGAAGAACUCCGAUUGCGAAGGCAGUUCACUGGACUGCAACUGACACUGAGGCUCGAAAGUGUGGGUAUCAAACAGGAUUAGAUACCCGUGUAGUC
This 460-nucleotide ribosomal RNA is filed under the name uncultured bacterium. RNAcentral's name for it is "partial 16S ribosomal RNA". It matches the Rfam family "Bacterial small subunit ribosomal RNA", at positions 338 to 795 of the family's 1533-position model. The record is from RNAcentral.